GGUGACCAUGGGGCACUGGGCGCCUGCGGGUAUCAGAUGCAUGUCAAGGUGGACUUUGUCAUACUCUCUUUGGGACACAGACCUGUCACCUAUUUAUUACUGUCUCAUUUCUACCCACCCCCGUCCUGGACACAGGGGACAUUCUCUUCCGCCAAGCAGCAGGAGCCUCUGCCCCGAUGAGCUGCUGGGGUUGCAUAAGCGGCUUCACUUGAAAAAAGCAAAUCACCUCAAGGACCUCGUCUCAGACUCCAAGCUCCUUUAUCAUAAGAACGGAUCAGAUUCCCUUCCUGUCCUUCAAAGUGCUUCUUGCUGUUGUAUUGAGCAGGUCUCUGGUCCGGACUGACGGUCUGCGUGUCCCUGCAGACCCUCUUCUACCUGGUGCACAUCUGGAGGACGGACUGGACCAGCGCCGCCCAGCAGGUGAGGGGCAGCGCGGCCCCUGGGAGGGGGCCCCUCGGGGUCAGAGGGUAGCCACGCACUGGCAGCCUGACUCACCUGGGCUCGUGGUGCGCGUCGCGUGUGGGUCGGGGCCGAAGAAGGUCUCACGCCAGCAGGUGUUUGUUCCGUCAAUACUGAGCCCGUUGCGUCUGCUGGGGAGGCUCGGCCGGAACCAAACCAGCCUAGAAAAUACUUUGCAGAGUUCCCGUCAGGGCUCAGUGGAAACCAGUCUGUCCAGCACCCGUGAGGACGCAGGUUCCAUCCCUGGCCUCUCUCAGUGGGUUAAGGAUCCAGCGUUGCUGUGAGCUACAGUGGGACUCGGAUCCUGUGUCGCUGUGGCUGUGGUGCAGGCCGGCAGCUGUAGUUCCGAUUCGACUCCUAGCCUGGGAACUUCCUUCUGCUGUGGGUGCCCCCCUAAAAAAAAAAAACCGCGGUGUCGUCGCCCUGGGCGAAUAGCGGUGUGUCCUGUUUCUCCUGCUCUGUCGUCCGGAUUAGGCCUCCUGAGAAAACCCCGUGGUCGGUGGUUCCCUGUAAGCAGGGCGAGCGGCCCGUGCCCUGUGGGA
This 1001-nucleotide long non-coding RNA is filed under the name Sus scrofa (pig). RNAcentral's name for it is "lncRNA (ENSSSCG00005007244.1)". The record is from RNAcentral. Lineage: Eukaryota; Metazoa; Chordata; Mammalia; Artiodactyla; Suidae.